This is a long non-coding RNA of Quercus lobata, 1483 nucleotides long. RefSeq lists it as uncharacterized. The record is from RefSeq and is a predicted model, not a curated record. NCBI's taxonomy places the organism in Eukaryota, Viridiplantae, Streptophyta, Magnoliopsida, Fagales, Fagaceae. The transcript has 2 exons.
CUCACAAAUAUCUCUCUCGAUCUUGACCGGCUGCCCUUCUUCUUUCACACCCAAACACAGACACAAACACACGUCCGUCUAACUCUCUCUCCCUCUCUUGAAUCUCUCCUCGCUCUUGGUCUCUCGGUCAGCUUCUAAAUUUUUGGUGAUCAAACUCUUCUCCAUGGUUUGACUUCUCCCCACAUGAAUGUAAGGUUCCAAAGUACUUGGUGAUGGACCUAGUAACUUGAUUGGUCAAAUGCAAUGCCCGAUUGAGGUAAAUUUGGAUUGGACUUUUGAGGUAAGUGGCUUAUUAAUGGGAUUUUAAAAAAAUGAAUCAUUAUUGCACUAAAGUAUUUUAUGGUUAAACCUAUUUUGGAACAUUAUUCAUGGUUUUCUUAAAAUGUACUAUGUGUACCAUUAUUGUUAAUCAUUUAUGGAAAACGCAUGAAGCGUUGAAAGUGCAUCAUAUUUCUUAUUACAUAUGGGGAAAUGCAUGAUUUGUUAGCAUGAAAAAGACUAGCAUCUUUGAUUAAAUUCUUGAGAAUGAAUUUUAUAGAUUUAUUACAUUAUUUGCAAAGUUUAAAGGUGCUUUGAUAAUUGGGAAAGUUGUACAAAAUCUUCUUGACAAGAAAUGAGUUUGAAGGCUUUGAGAAGCUUGUGAAUAUCUUUGAAUAUUAAAAGGUUUUGUGAAACUACUUGGAAAUGAAUUGUGUUUUGAAUUCAUGUAAUCUGUGAGCUCUUUAUGUUUUACCCUUGUAACAUGACGUGUGAUUACCUAGCUAGAUCCUAUAGUCUGUGUGACAUUAGUAUCUUAGCACCGGUCUUUGUGAUGGUUAUUGAGUUUCGUCUUUGUGACAGCGAUGAGUUCUGUCUUUGUAACGAUAUUGUCAUGUGGCCCUAGGUUGGAUUUUCAAGUUUUGAAACAGUGUUUUAUUAUUACUAAUAGUAUAUACGUUAUGUAGUUUCAUGUUGAGAUAUUUUAAGAAAUAUAAUUAUGUAGUUUCACAUUGAGAUAUUUCAAAAAAGCUUUGUGCUAUGUUGUUUCAAGCAUUCUUGUCAUGUCAUUACUAAUAUUGAAUUUUUAGAAAUCAAAUGGCAAUUCCAAAAGUAUAACAUGUUUUGUAAAAGGCUCAUUAUCAUAAGACUUGCAUUUCCUCCACCCUCAUUAAUUAUGCUACUUACUGGGCUUUAGCUCGUUCAACUCUCCAACGGUCUUAUAGAUAAAUUAGCUACACCUCAGGAAUGGAGCUUGUCUUGUUGGUGGUGGUGGUUUGGAGUUUUACGCUGAAUUGGAAGACUGACAUUAUUAUUUGUUGGUGUGUCGAUCUAGUUGUUUUUAAGGAAGUAGUAGUUAAUUCUAUUAGUGGUUGGACUCUCUUGAGGUUUGUUAGCCCAAGAAUUUUGUUGGAGUUGUAUAUUUUUGAGAACAUUGGUGUUUUAUGUUAAAUUGUUUGGUGUUUGGAAUAUUUAUGUAAAUUUUGGAGGCACGUGAUUUAUAGUU